Molecule: unclassified non-coding RNA, 382 nt
Filed under: Hevea brasiliensis (rubber tree)
Lineage: Eukaryota; Viridiplantae; Streptophyta; Magnoliopsida; Malpighiales; Euphorbiaceae
Source: RNAcentral
AGCACUUAAAUGACAUUUUGCAACCACAGCAACAUCAGCAACAACAGGCCUUAUAUAUCUUCUAGUUGGCAGUUGGCUCAAUAGAUCAAUGAGAAACUCCAUAAACCGUUCACAAUAUAGGACAGAGGCAUCGUUUACACCUUCAAAAUCACUUGUGAAAUUUAAGUCACUAUCGACCUCAUCGUCUGGCUGAGGAAAAAUUUUGCAAUCAAGAACCUCAAGAAACUCCUCAAUUAAAUGUCUCAGGAAAUUCACUUCUAGCAUGGUUGAGGUAUCAAAAGAUUCACCUCUCUUAGCUGCCUCCUUGGCUCUUUUUGCAAUUUUCUUCCAUUUCUUGAUAAGAUCAGGGUUAACACAGAGCUCCAUCUGAAAUCGACCAUAU